Molecule: long non-coding RNA, 397 nt
Organism: Dromaius novaehollandiae (emu)
Lineage: Eukaryota; Metazoa; Chordata; Aves; Casuariiformes; Dromaiidae
Exons: 4
Source: RefSeq, a predicted model, not a curated record
UGGCGGCCAAUGGCCCAGCAGUCAAGAUGGGUGAGCAGAGCAGGCAAAGGUGUUGUAGUGAGGUACUGUUGUGGUGGGGUGUGGUUUUGGCAUCACCUCAAGGUGUGGUUGUCUCAGGUUUUGCAGGAAGUUGUGAAGAGGAGAAGUAGAGUGCUGAGAAGAGCCCGAGCAGGUAUGGUGUGGGCCUUUCCCAAGCGUGGCUGAGGAUUUCAGGUGCCAUGGGCUUCCCCCCAGCCAGGAUGCUGGUGUUUGGAAUUGGCGCAGUUCAGGUGAAGGCAAAUGUGGCAAGCAAAGGAAGAUCGGAGAAGAUGGGUCUGCCAUUGAGGAUGGCUCUUGAGGACCGAUGGUGAUGCAGAGCACCGGAAGAGCUAAGUUGAUGGGCAAAGGGUGUUGGGGU